GCAUUUUACAAUUACAUAUUCUUAUUUCAUAUUUCUUUUCACAUUUAUUUGAGAAAUCUGAUUUGCCUCUCUUACUUCUUGAAACAAAGCUCUAAAUAGCAUUG
Rhagoletis zephyria (snowberry fruit fly) is the source of this 104-nucleotide long non-coding RNA. RefSeq lists it as uncharacterized. Lineage: Eukaryota; Metazoa; Arthropoda; Insecta; Diptera; Tephritidae. The record is from RefSeq and is a predicted model, not a curated record.